GGCUUGGUUUCUUUUUAUGAAAGUUUGAUUCUAGCUUAUUAAAUUUGCUUUUUAAUAAUUGUACAUGUAUAUUUUUGUGAGUUAGGUUUAUUUCUAAAUGAGUAGUAAUUUGAUUCUCAGUUCUUAAUUUUAUAUAUUACAGGAAUGUAGAUUUAGUUAAUUUGAUGAAUUCUGACCAAUAUUGUGCCAGCAGUCGCGGUUACACAAUAGGAGUGAGUGAAUUUUUUUUGGUUUGUAUUUAUUUUUGUUUUUCUAUUCAAAGUGUUAAUCUUAUGGUGAAAUUUAGAUUUUUUGUUGAGUAGGUUAUGAGAUUUAAAUAUGAAAGUUUAUUGUGAAACUGGGAUUAGAGACCCCAUUAUCAUGAACAGUAAUUCGGUAAUCUUAGUAUUAAUAGUUAUGAUCUUUAAAUUAAAAGAAUUUGGCGGUAAUCUAGUCUGUUCAGAGGAAUCUGCCCUGUAAUUGAUAUUCCACGAUGAAUUUUACUUUAUCUAUGCUUGUAUAUCUCUGUCAUUGAAUGUCCUAUUAGGGUAUUUUCUUUAAUCUUUAAUGUGUAAGAUGUCAGGUCAAGGUGCAGCGAUGGUAAAGAAGAGGUGGAUUACAUUAAAUUUAUUUAUGGAUAGUGAAUAUGGAAAUUUUCUUGAAAUUGGAUUUGAAAGUAAUUUCUAUUAGAAUAUAGAUUUGAUUUUAGCUCUAGAUUAUGCACAUAUCGCCCGUCACUCUCGUUUAUUUAAAAUGAGAUAAGUCGUAACAAAGUAGAUUUACUGGAAGGUGAAUCUGGUAUAAAAAUAU
This 789-nucleotide non-coding RNA is filed under the name Triatoma infestans. The record is from RNAcentral. Lineage: Eukaryota; Metazoa; Arthropoda; Insecta; Hemiptera; Reduviidae.